AAUGGAAAGGAAGAACAAAAUUGAUAGAGAUGGAUGCUUCCGAUAAUAUUCUAGCUGGCCAGCUCCCAUCUCCACUCUCGUGAUACGAUCAGUUGCCACCAUCCCUGGCUGAACAGACCUUUUGGCGACUGGAUUGGAUUUGAGGAUCAACCUCUCUCUAUGCUGAAUAAACUCUUUCUUCACCAUAACCUAAUUAUAAUUGAUGAUUGGAGGCACACCAAUGGGGUAUCUAUAUAGAAUCACUGAUGGAUGUAUGGCAAAUAGGGCUGCAAAGCUCGAAUCAAUGGAGCUUUGCAGAAGCGUCAAGGAUAGGAUCGGUCUUAGAAUGAUUAACAAGGCAGAAGAUAGAGGACCCACAAGUUAUUGUCAUAAUAAUCGAUCUUAAGGCACAAUAAGAGGAUUCACGGGGCCUUGGCUCUUUGAUUUCAUUGAAGAAAGACAGAGGCUGAGAAGAACCAUAGGAUAUCCUUGGUGUAUUGCAACCGUCAUAGUUUCAGUAACUCAAGGAUUCCUAGAUUUGAAAGAGAAGCAAAAAUUCUCAGCAAUUGCAGCAUCAUCACACAAGGAAAAUUAAGAUGAUGGUGCUUCUUGGUAGAAGACACCAACGUUGGAGACAGAAGAUACACGAAGUCAGAUCCAAUGGGAACAGAGGAUUUUUGAUUUGGUAUGUUGAAUCAUUAACUAGAUCUUACCAUUCUAGGAUCCUGGAAAAGUGAACUCGCUGGUAUAAUCAGAAGAAGAAUGGUAAGAUAUAAAGACUGAAAAAAAAAGAACUCUCAAAUCAGCGAGUUUGUUCUUAACGUGCCGGUCGUAAGAAUCGUUUUAGGAUGGUCUUUGGUGAGAGUCUCUUCAUCAGUAUAUGUUUAUCGAUUGGAGAUAUACAAGAGUCAUGGUUAUUUGGCUAAGGGUCUCUAAAAGUCAUCAUGUUUCAUCACUCUUUAAAGUUCAAAUUUUGAAGAAAACUGGUUUGUUUCUGCUGCAAUAUCGAUGUGGUGUUUUGCAUUGGUGUACCUGAUUGCUCACGGUCUACGUUUUCUAAGUAAUUGAAGUCUUAAUUUAAAAGUUUAUAACACAUGG
Long non-coding RNA from Brassica oleracea var. oleracea, 1077 nucleotides. RefSeq lists it as uncharacterized. The transcript is spliced from 3 exons. Lineage: Eukaryota; Viridiplantae; Streptophyta; Magnoliopsida; Brassicales; Brassicaceae. The record is from RefSeq and is a predicted model, not a curated record.